UGGGGAAUAUUGGCGCAAUGGGCGGAAGGCCUGACGCAGCAACGCCGCGUGCGGGAUGAGCGGCCUUCGGGCUUGGUUAAAACCGCUUUCAGCAGGGACGAAGCGUGAGUGACGGUACCUGCAGAAGAAGCACCGGCCAACUACGUGCCAGCAGCCGCGGUGAUACGUAGGGUGCGAGCGUUGUCCGGAAUUAUUGGGCGUAAAGAGCUCGUAGGUGGUUGAUCGCGUCGAAAGUGAAAUCUCAGGGCUUAACCCUGAGCGUGCUUUCGAUACGGGUCGACUAGAGGAAGGUAGGGGAGAAUGGAAUUCCUGGUGGAGCGGUGGAAUGCGCAGAUAUCAGGAGGAACACCAGUGGCGAAGGCGGUUCUCUGGACCUUUCCUGACGCUGAGGAGCGAAAGCGUGGGGAGCAAACAGGCUUAGAUACCCUGGUAGUCCACGCCGUAAACGGUGGGUACUAGGUGUGGGGGGACAUUCCACGUUCUCCGUGCCGUAGCUAACGCAUUAAGUACCCCGCCUGGGGAGUACGGCCGCAAGGCUAAAACUCAAAUGAAUUGACGGGGUCAUAGCUGUUUUCCU
Molecule: ribosomal RNA, 577 nt
Filed under: uncultured bacterium
Lineage: Bacteria
Description: partial 16S ribosomal RNA
Rfam family: Bacterial small subunit ribosomal RNA
Source: RNAcentral